Molecule: long non-coding RNA, 837 nt
Filed under: Pongo abelii (Sumatran orangutan)
Lineage: Eukaryota; Metazoa; Chordata; Mammalia; Primates; Hominidae
Description: lincRNA
Source: RNAcentral
GCACAUUCCUCGCAUUCUAGGAUUGAGAUACACAGUUUGGUUCUUGUGGGGGCAGCCAGGGCGGGGGAGGAGGGCAGAGAACAUCCCAGAGAUCAAGACUGCUCUUCUUGCUCCCUCCCUGACUGACUUGGCCCACACUGACUGACCUGCCACCCCUUUACAGUGAUCUCCACCCAGUCUCUCUCUGCAAAGGCCUCCCUUGGCUCUCUGAUAAAGUUGGAGCUGUGGGUGCAGCAUUUCACUUCCACCUAGCAGCAUCAAUGAGCCAGCUGCUUACUGGGGAACACGCAAACCCCCAGCUGCUGGCGUGCAGGAAAAGAAUCCAGGAGAUCACCUGAUGAAGCCCAGCAUUUUACAGAUAGGCAGUGGAGCAGGGGAAUCCAGUUGACACUGUGGCUAAAUUUCAGAACACCUCCCACGAGAUCUUGCAAAGGAGAUGGAGAAAAUAUGGCUGAAUGCCAGCAAGGUUGGACGGAAGCAUGACUGCUCUAACAACCAAGCUCAAAGAGCACUGCUCACCCAAUGUUUCCUUCAUGACUAGAGCAAAGUGGUGAAAGGACCCUGGUGAGAGGCCCAAAGAACAGGAGGUGUGAGCCAACAGAAGGUGGGGUCCUGCUGGGCCUAUGUUGCAGGCUAUUUGGAGGCUGAACUUGAGGUUGAGGCAGAAUUAACCGUUGCAUGAGAUGUGGGGUAUGAGAGAAGGCCUGAGCACCUAGAAGGAUUGGGGGUGCCAUGAACUGACAGAGGUUGUGUAAUAGUGUGAUAUAAUAAGAAAUACAUGGCGGGCAUGGUGGCUUAUGCCUGUAAUCCCAGCACCUUGGCCACCAAUGCAGGACC